AGCAUAGAGGGUGAUACUCCCGUCUCUGCUCAGAUUGUCUGUGUGUACGAUACGCUUUCUUUGAGUCGAGUUGUUUGGGAAUACAGCUCAAAGUAGGUGGUAAAUUCCAUCUAAAGCUAAAUAUUGGUGCGAGACCGAUAGCGAACAAGUACCGUGAGGGAAAGAUGAAAAGAACUUUGAAAAGAGAGUUAAAGAGUACCUGAAACUGUUGAAAGGGAACCGUAACAUUUCCAGUGUUGUAUCCUGUGCAUAUUUCAUUAGCGGAGUAAUUUGCUGGUGYCYUGUGCAUGGGUGUGACGUCAGGGUCAGUUUGUAUGCUGCGGGAGAUGGUUAGUAAGGAGGUGCGUCACUUCGGUGAAAGUUAUACCUUGCUAUCUAGUAGCCGUGGUUGAGACUGAGGUGCCUACAACAUGCCUUGAGGUUCGGUGUUGUCUCGUUGUGGUGACUGCUUGGAUAGCUUGCUAUGUCUGUGGUUAAUUAUGGCGAUUGAUGAUGUCGAUAACUUCUGCUGUUCGGGACUCUGGCGAAAUGGAGUGUUACGACCCGUCUUGAAACACGGACCAAGGAGUCUAMCAYSUGUGCAAGUAUUAGGGCGUGGAAACCCAAAUGCGUAAUGAAAGUAAAUGGUGCUUAUGCAUCUGUGGUAGGAAAGGGCUGUAAUGGUCCUGGCACUAUCGACCGAUCAUGAACCUACGGGUGAAAGAUUUGAGUAUGAGCAUAUAUGUUGGUACCCGAAAGAUGGUGAACUAUGCCUGAAUAGGGUGAAGCCAGGGGAAACUCUGGUGGAAGCUCGUAGCGAUUCUGACGUGCAAAUCGAUCGUCAAAUUUGGGUAUAGGGGCGAAAGACUAAUCGAACCAUCUAGUAGCUGGUUCCCUCCGAAAUUUCCCUCAGGAUAGCAGCAACUUUUUACGAUAG
Molecule: ribosomal RNA, 916 nt
Filed under: Saprolegniales sp.
Lineage: Eukaryota; Oomycota; Saprolegniomycetes; Saprolegniales
Description: partial large subunit ribosomal RNA
Source: RNAcentral